RNAcentral lists this long non-coding RNA (671 nucleotides) under Canis lupus familiaris (dog). RNAcentral's name for it is "lncRNA (ENSCAFG00000054969.1)". The record is from RNAcentral. Lineage: Eukaryota; Metazoa; Chordata; Mammalia; Carnivora; Canidae.
GCGGGGUGGCCGCGGGCGGGUGUGCGCGCCGGCCCGGCGCCCCCGAGCGCCCUGCCUCGCCUCCCGCGCGCAGCCUGUCCCCGGCUCCGCCACAGACCCACGCCCCCCGGCACCCCACGCCCACCGCGCACCCCGCCCCCGCCCCCGCGGGCGCCGCCACCUCUCCGCCCGCGGCCCGAGCGAGCGGCAACUCUCCGGCCCGCGCCGCUCGCCUUCCCGGCUCCUUCCGCGCGCGGCGAGCUCAGCCCCGCUCGAUUUUUUUUUUUUCUUUUUUUUUUCUCCCUUUUCUAUGCCAGCCCUCUCCGGUCUGGGCGGCGGCGGCGGCGGCGGCGGGGGGAUGGGGCCCCGCGUGGGGAAGGGGGCGAAGAUCGAUGAAGAUUAUUGUUCUUUUUAAGGAUCCCCUCGCGUCCUCCCGCCGCCUCCCCCGGGGCUUUCGCGCUGGAGACGGUGAAGGGAGUCAGGGAUGUGAGGACGGGGGGAGACGCCGGGAGCUGCCGCCCGCCGGGGAGACCCUCCUCUCCGCCGAGGGGAGGGGGACCGCCAGCCACAGAUCAUUGGCGAAGGGGACCGUCGCGGGGAGAGGAGCCCCGGAGGGAGCGGGGGAUCCCACGACCCUGCGUGGCGCCCGAGCCGUGCCGCCGGCCAGCGGGGUCGGUGGGAGCAGAGGCUAA